This 1436-nucleotide ribosomal RNA is filed under the name uncultured marine bacterium. Its description in RNAcentral is "bacterial SSU rRNA". It matches the Rfam family "Bacterial small subunit ribosomal RNA". The record is from RNAcentral.
GAGUUUGAUCCUGGCUCAGAACGUACGCUGGCGGCACGCCUAACACAUGCAAGUCGAACGAACUAUCAAUACUUAGUGGCAGACGGGUGAGUAACAUGUAGGUAUCUACCCUUUGGCCUGGAAUAACACGAGAAAACUUGUGCUAAUACCGGAUAAGUCUUUACGGAGAAAGCUUUAUGCACCAUUGGAUGAUCCUGCACUUGAUUAGUUUGUUGGUGGGGUAAUGGCCUACCAAGACUGUGAUCAAUAGCUGAUUUGAGAGGAUGAUCAGCCACAUUGGGACUGAGACACGGCCCAAACUCCUACAGGAGGCAGCGGUGGGGAAUCUUGCACAAUGGAGGAAACUCUGAUGCAGCGAUGCCACGUGAAUGAAGAACGCCUUUGGGUUGUAAAGCUCUUUCGUCGGGGAGGAAAAUGACUGUACCCGAAUAAGAAGGUCCGGUUAACUUCGUGCCAGCAGCCGCGGUAAUACGAAGGGACCUACCGUAUUUCGGAAUUACUGGGCUUAAAGAGUUGGUAGGUGGUUGAAAAAGUUGGUGGUGAAAUCCCAGAGAUUAACUCUGGAACUGCCAUCAAAACUUUUCAGAUAGAGUAUGAUAGAGGAAAGCAGAUUUUCUAGUGUAGAGGUGAAACUCGUAGAUAUUAGAAAGAAUACCAAUUGCGAAGGCAGCUUUCUGGAUCAUUACUGACACUGAGGAACGAAAGCAUGGGUAGCGAAGAGGAUUAGAUACCCUCGUAGUCCAUGCCGUAAACGAUGAGUGUUAGACGUUGGAAACUUAUUUUCAGUGUCGCAGCGACCGCGAUAGACACACCGCCUGGAGAGUACGACCGCAAGGUUAAAACUCAAAUGAAUUGACGGGGACCCGCACAAGUAGUCGAGCAUGUGGUAUAAUUCGAAGAUACGCGCAGAACCUUACCAACACCUGACAUGCUUCGUCGCGACUAUAAGAGAUUAGAGUUUUCGGCUCGGCCGGGCGAAACACAGGUGAUGCAUGGCUGUCGUCAGCUCCUGUCCUGAGAUGUUGGGUUAAGUCCCGCAACGAGCGCAACCCUCACUUUUAGUUGCCAUCAUUAAGUUGGGCACUGGGAAAGAACUGCCAGUGAGAAGCUGGAGGAAGGUGGGGAUGACGUCAAGUCCUCAUGGCCCUUACGUGUUGGGCUACACACGUGCUCCAAUGGUAUCUACAACAGGAAGCAAGACUGCGAGGUCAAGCAAAUCCUUAAAAGAUACCUCAGUUCGGAUUGCACUCUGCAACUCGAGUGCAUGAAGCUGGAAUUAAUAGUAAUCAAGGAUCAGCGGGCCACGGAGAACGCGUUCCCGGGUCUUGUACACACCGCCCGUCACCCCAUGGGAGUUGGUUAUGCCGUAAGGCAAGGUUUAAAACCCCUGCCCACGGUAUAGUCAGCGACUGGGGGGAAGUUGUAACAAGGUAACC